RNAcentral lists this non-coding RNA (939 nucleotides) under Dibamus novaeguineae. RNAcentral's name for it is "small subunit ribosomal RNA". It matches the Rfam family "Bacterial small subunit ribosomal RNA". Lineage: Eukaryota; Metazoa; Chordata; Lepidosauria; Squamata; Dibamidae. The record is from RNAcentral.
UUAAGUUUUGGUCCUAAACUUCCUGUUAUUUAUAAUCAAAUUUACACAUGCAAGUCUCAGCAAACCAGUGAAAAUGCCCUUUAAUCCUACACAGAUCAACGGAGCAGGUAUCAGGCUCAACUUUUUUUAGCCCAAAACACCUUGCAUUGCCACACCCACACGGGAUUUCAGCAGUGAUCAACAUUAAGCAAUAGGCGUAAACUAAGCCUGACCUAGUUAUGAUUAUAAAGGUCCGGUAAAUUUCGUGCCAGCCACCGCGGUUAUACGAAAGGUCCGAAAUAACAUAAUCGGCGUAAAAUGUGGCUAGAAUAAUACAAUUAAGGAAGAAUACUGCCACGUGGUAAAAUACAAGAGCGAACAAGAAUGCCCAUCAAAACACCCUUAAAACAUUUGACCCCACGAAAGCCAGGGAACAAACUGGGAUUAGAUACCCCACUAUGCCCGGCCCUAAACCUAGAUAGAGUCUUACACACUAUCCGCCAGAGAACUACAAGCGAAAAGCUAAAAACUCCAAGGACUUGGCGGUGUCCCACAUCAACCUAGAGGAGCCUGUCCUAUAAUCGAUAACCCACGUUCAACCUCCCCAUUUUUUGCAUCAAUUCAGUCUAUAUACCGCCGUCGUCAGCCAACCUUAUGAAAGUAUUAAAGUUAGCAGAAAAGUAGAACACUAAAACGUCAGGUCAAGGUGUAGCUUACAAAAUGGCAGAGAUGGGCUACACUUUCUAUCAAAGAAUACACGAACAGCAUAAUGAAAACGUGUUCAAAGGUGGAUUUAGUAGUAAAAUUAAAUAGAAAAUUAAUUUUAAAAAGCCCUGGGACACGCACACACCGCCCGUCACCCUCAUCAACAUUUAACCACAGUAUAAAUAAAAACACACACUCAUAAUAGAUGAGGCAAGUCGUAACAUGGUAAGCAUACUGGAAAGUGUGCUUGGACUA